AUCCCCGGAACCAAGGAUGGCAGCAAUACAUGCGACCCUGGUGCUUAGUGGGCAGAGACAGGCGAAUCCCAGCUCGCCUAGCUGAAAUGUCAAGACCCUAGUUCAGUGAGAAACCCAUUCUCAAAAACUAAGGUAGAGGCCCAGGCACCGUGAUGCACACUUUUAAUCCGAGCAUUCCGCAGGCAGAGGCAAAAAGGAGAGCACCUCCAGCAUAACAAGAAAGAAAAAUGAAUAGUGAACGAAGAAAAGAGAUGGCAGAGAGGCAUAAUACCAACACUGUGGAGGCAGAGACAGGAGGGGCCUGGGACUUGCUGGCCAGCCAAGCUAGCCCCAUCACUGCGCUCCAGGUUUAAUGUGGAAACCUAUUUCAGAUAAUAAAGGGGAGAGGUAGCUCAGCCACUAAAAGCACUGCCUGCUCUUCCAGAAUUCUUGAGUCCAACUCCCAUCGCGGCUCACAGCUGUCUUUGACUCAGCUCCAGGGGAUCUGGCGCCCUCUUCUGGCCUCUGCAGGCAUCAGGCACCCACAAGGAACACAUGCAGGUUUACCUGGCCCCUGGUGGAGGGAAGGGAGAGGGGCCAGAUAGGAAGGGGAAAACAUGGAGGGUAUAAAGGUUUAGGACCGCGUCGAGGUUGCUAAGCCCUUUCCUUUUCUUCUCCAAUCUUAGUCUCAUGGUCAAGAGAAACUCAUACACCCAUAUCGACUCCUCUGUCUCAUCUUAGCAUUCUGCCACACGUCAUAAUUUGAUCCGUAUUAACUGUCUCCUGGUCCUCUUUCUCUUUAGGUCACUAUGCCUCUCUUGAGUCUUUUCCCAACACCUGCUCCAGGUCUCUCACGGCUUUGGCUUCCUCACAUUUGUUAUGAAGACAGUGGUGAAAGACUAUUUUGUCUCCAGAAGAACAGCUUGUGUAAGAACUUGAAGGGCCUGGCACAUUUUCGUGACUCAACUGAGUUCCAGAGAAAGGUACGGUGGCAGGACACCCCAGCCAGUCACGGAAUUUGGAUGCAUGGGGCAGGCAUGGCAGUGACCCACCAUGGGAACAUAGCAAGUCGGGUGGAGAGAUUUCAGGAGCUCCAGGCCAGAGAGUCAGGGUCCUGCUCGCUUCUGAGGCUACAGCACCACCUGCCGCUCAUCUGAGGAAACCGGCUGAGACGGCAAAGGCCCGGGAGCCUGGGAGGAGGCGGAGGCUGACUAGGAGGCUGGCUCUGGGCCUCAAGAGAACCGACUCUUUGUUCUGGACAAAUCCAGCACUGGCCCUCAGGGACAAGGCAAACGUUUUGAUCAUUGUCGUCAGUCAUACAUCUUAGGCAAGGCAGGAUGCCUAGCUCUUACAAAAAGGAACUUGGAGGUUCUGAAAGGAUAUCUGGAUCUGCCGAUUUUCAUAAAACUCCAGUGUCCUCUCAAGGUUAAUUUACCCAGAGGAGUACCAGCCUGCCUUUGAAAUUCUGUAGAUUUCCUCAAAGUGAUUCUUGUUUCUGUGCGGGUUUGAGAUUAUUGCAAGUCGAGUUAAUUGGAUGGGUAAGAUAAUGAAGGCAAGCGUAGAAGAAUCAGACCUUUGGAAAAAAUAUAAGGAGCUUGCUCUUGCUGAACUCUCGCGGGUUCUCAGCCAGAGCGCUCUCUUAAGCUC
Molecule: non-coding RNA, 1626 nt
Organism: Rattus norvegicus (Norway rat)
Lineage: Eukaryota; Metazoa; Chordata; Mammalia; Rodentia; Muridae
Source: RefSeq, a predicted model, not a curated record